UUUUACCCAUACGGAGUGUGCGAUCCUUUGUUUUUAUACCCUAUUUUCUUCUAACAGGAAAGCCAGAUGGCAGCCAUUUUAUUAAAAUAUCAGUCCUGGUUGAUUGACAGGCUUCCAAGACUGCCUUCAAUCUUUAAAAUAGUCCUUAAGGUAGCAAGUAUUAAUGUACCAAGUUUGAUACUUGUAUUAUGAAAUUGUACAACUAUUGAAUGUAUCCACUGGACGAUAUUGUGUGGCAGCAGAAAGAUGAGCACCAAACCAAACUGUCACCCUCAACAGGCAGAAGAAUAAUGUUUCAAUAAUUAAAUGUUUAAAAAACAAUAGUGUAGUAUGCAGCUUUCUGAAGAAGCAACAUCAUGGGUAUUUGUGUGCGUGCGGGCACGCGCGCUUAUCUAUCACUUUGUGUUGUCAGUUAGAGACAAGCUACUGAUGUUACUGCUAGUGUCUGAUAAAUAGAUAGAAAGGCUUUCCCACUAAUAUUCUCAAUUAAAUGUUAACUACAAAGUAUGCCUACCUGGCAGAAUGAUAUCAUGAUUAUUAUUUGUUUCAAUUGGGAGGGGAUUUGUUUUGCAAACUGCCAUCGCAGUAGCCUACAGAAACAUCGCUCGCAUUCCGCCACUGUGUCAAAACGCAACCAGGAGUCUUCAGCCUUGUCACUGAAAGAUAGCCACACGUGUCUCAUUAGAGGAAGAAUGCAUUAUUUUUUAGAAGUGAGACCUUUAGUGUGAUGUAGAUAGCCUAAAUGUGAUGCUAAUAAAAUGGGUAUUGAUCAGUAAAAUGUACAUCAGCACUCAGCAGUGCCACAGUACACAUAUACUUGUGCAAAAUCCUCUCACGCCCUCUCACAAACUCCCUUAAAUUCAAAUAAUGUAUUGCUCUGCUGUAUGUGUCAAUAGGGCAUUUAUUAAGGUAAUCAUUUCAAAUGAAUUAUUAAUAACAGAAACAUAGCACUUGAUAAGUUUCCUGUUAUUAACCUGGACUCGGUCUUGUGGUGGUAUCUAUCAUCUGUCAUUGUUGCUGGAGCAGGAAGUGGAACUCUUGACACGUAGUUUAUUAUUAUAUGUAGUGGUGGCACUGCAUAGCCCCUAGACACAACCCAAGAGAAGUAAUUGUCUUUGUGAAAGUCAGACAUAGAAGCGAGAAUACAUUUACCCAGCACCACUUCCUCCUCUCAGCCAGCACCAGGUCAUGUAACUGUUUCAUACCUGUCAAAGGACCAUCACUUUGGUUUGCCUUUUGUUCUGCCGUCGGUCUGAGCAGAACAUAUUGGACCAACGUCUGGUUCUGCAGUGGGUCAGUAUGUGUGGAAGACGUGCAUUCAGGCUUUCUCUGCUUCUGCUGGUGUGGUGUGUGUGCACAGCCUUUGAAGAGAAUCAAGUGAAAACAUUGGAAACAGGAGCAGAUUUGGGCACUCCUGCCUGUCCAAACCAAACCAUUAAUAACAUGAUGUAUGUAAUAUGUAAGAUAGAUAGAGGGAAAAGUGGUGGGAGUGAGUGUCAAGUGUCUCUUCGGUUUGACCAAAAUGGUACAGACAGCACUUGUGACCCCAGAGUCACACUACAGAUAAAGAGUGGUGGAGUAUUUCUACACAUCACCAACAUACAACCAUCUGAUGAAGGGAACUACACCUGUCAGUGUGUAUUUAAUGGAGGAACAGAUAUUUUGCAUCUCAAUAUUUCUGUCAAUGGAUCCCAUGUCAGAAACAUCCUUUCUUUCCAACGUCCUUUCCAUUUCAUGAUAAUAACAGCCUUUGCAGGAUUUGUAGCCGUCGUGGUCCUUGUUGGAAUAAUCAGGAGGAAAUGUAAUGUCAAGUCUUCUGUUCUUUUACACAGCAGGAGAACACAGCAGAAAGCAGUGUACAACUUUAAGGAGGUGAUGCAAC
Molecule: long non-coding RNA, 1882 nt
Organism: Oncorhynchus gorbuscha (pink salmon)
Lineage: Eukaryota; Metazoa; Chordata; Actinopteri; Salmoniformes; Salmonidae
Exons: 4
Source: RefSeq, a predicted model, not a curated record